This is a long non-coding RNA of Syngnathoides biaculeatus (alligator pipefish), 2114 nucleotides long. RefSeq lists it as uncharacterized. The record is from RefSeq and is a predicted model, not a curated record. The transcript has 3 exons. NCBI's taxonomy places the organism in Eukaryota, Metazoa, Chordata, Actinopteri, Syngnathiformes, Syngnathidae.
GUGGAUCUAAAACACAGACUUCUGGAUCCUGAGUUUCGAAUUCCUUUAACUAAACAGACCGCUGUGCACCAGGAUUCAGGAACGUUUAACCAAACUCACACACAAGCACUGCGGAGUCACAUGACCCCAGGAACUUUGAACACGCUGCUAGCCAAAUGACAAGAGUCAAAGUCAGUUGCUAGCAGAACGAAACUGAGCGAGUGAGGCUUGCCAAGGUCUGACUGGGAAAGGAAAGCAGCAGAUCAUAGUGCGUGACACACACACACUUGGAACAGAGUUAAGCUCGUGGAAUCAGCUGAUGUGGGAAAGGGAAAAACUAAACAGGAACCGUUGGCUGCAACAACAGAAACGUGAUUAUGAGGGUCUGCUAAGGCCAUUAAAAACAAGGCGGUGGGCAAUGACGUCACUGUCCUGUUAACGUGGCUUUCAAAUGACACGUUUUCAGUCACCCAACAACAGGUGGAGUCCACGUAAAGUAGAAGAUGUAUAGAGGAGGAGAACUUACAAGGUAUCUGAGGCAUUCCAGUCAUACAGACCUGCUGGGCUGGUUUGCGGGUCAUUAAAAUUCCUUUCCUUCUCUCAGUGCCUGGCUUAUCGGAAGCCUCUGUUUGUUCCCCAAGCGACGUGUUGGCUCAUGUCCACCCACCUGCCCAGCCUCGCCUUCCACCUUCGACGUGUUAUCUCCCUGUGCCAGAGCACACUGCGUUCUGCGUCUCGGGAAGUUUAUACGCCAGUUCCCCAUGUUGUACUUAGCGACAAAUACAAGAGUUCCCCUUUUGGAUUCCACACCCAAAGUUGAUCACCGACUACCAUAUUUUCAGCGUCUUUCAUUCUGUCUUGUUUUUAUUUUUUCUUUGCCACUUUGAUUUGUGUUUUGUCUUGUCGCCACUGGAGCAUGGAAGUGGUAUCAUCUUUUGUGUCACUUUCUGUGAUAAGCAAGUGAGCAGGCAAAGUUUUGUGCCGGUGGUCCUCGUCACAAAACAACAACAACGGCAUCAAUGGGAUGAAGAAUAGAGCUGACAGUUGUUCUUGCCAAUUUAUUAUCUAGCCAUCCAUUUUCUGAACCGCCUACCCACACCAGGGUUGCAGGCUAGCUCCCACGUAUGUCACAUCCCAGCGUUACGUAGGCGGACCCAAAUGCAGGACUCCCAGGCAAAGGCAUAAUGUUCAGUGGGUUUUAUGGUUUAUUUUCACUGACGUCGCAUUUUUUACUGCACCACUGCGCACCGCCAUUUAACCUUUCUACCUAACGCGUACCCAGUGUGGAAGUCUACGGAAUACUCUCGGUUACUGUUUGUGUUUUUGUGUUUCACGGGCAUCUCGGGACUCAAGUACACAAGAGAGGACUUGCUAACCAUCAGAAAGCCUUCUUCUGACUUUUCUUCUGACUUUUUGUUCAACAAGUCUCGCUAAUUCGCUGAAGCUUUUUCCAGAGUUACUAUUCAGUGCACUCUUCAAAGCCUCCAGUAUGCAAGUCCAGCUGCGUAAGCGGGGACAUCGUCUAACGCUUCCGAUGAAAGUCUUUGGACAUUCUGCGGCUCUGUGCUUCACGGAGACUUGGCUUUGUGGACGAUUUCCCGACGCUAUUAUCCCGCUGCCCGGUCUCAACCUCCACCGUGCUGAUGUGUCACCGAGCUAAGCUAACAAGCUUAAUGGAUACUCUUUUCAGAAGGCCAACAUUACAGGUUAGGCUACCUGUCAUUUGGAACCCACCAAGCUCUUGUCCUUUGCACCUGUGCAAUCCAUUUUUCACAACGAACCGGGUAUUUUGGAAAAGUAUGAAGAGCGAAUCCAUCCUCCCGAGUGUUCGAGCAAUAUCCAGCAAUACAACGAGCCGGCAUUGUGGCUAACACGAAGGAACAAAAAGCUACUUUCCAGGAGGAUUCCGCACACACCUCCUGGACUCGUGCAUUGUUACUUUAAGUCAUAGGAGAGCAGCGUUUCCAAGAAGACCAGCUGGUUUGAUCCCAGUAAAGAUUUUGUGACGUGUUAAUCAACAGUGGAACCUCCAAACAACCAAACACUGGUGAAAGACAGAUUUAUUCCGAUUUUCCUCAUAGGUGUGACUACAAGUGCGAGUGGUUUGUUAGUUUAUACAGAAAAUAAGUACUUGA